AGGGCACCACCAGGAGUGGAGCCUGCGGCUUAAUUUGACUCAACACGGGAAAACUCACCCGGCCCGGACACUGGAAGGAUUGACAGAUUGAGAGCUCUUUCUUGAUUCAGUGGGUGGUGGUGCAUGGCCGUUCUUAGUUGGUGGAGUGAUUUGUCUGGUUAAUUCCGAUAACGAACGAGACUCUAGCCUAUUAAAUAGAUCGUUGGCUUACAAACGCCGGCGAGACUUCUUAGAGGGACAGGCGGCGAUUCAGCCGCACGAAACAGAGCAAUAACAGGUCUGUGAUGCCCUUAGAUGUCCGGGGCCGCACGCGCGCUACACUGAAGUGAUCAGCGUGCAUUUUGAAACCUACUCUGUCAAGAGUGGGGAACCCAAUGAACCUUCUUCGUGAUUGGGAUAGGGGAUUGUAAUUAUUCCCCUUGAGCGAGGAAUUCCCAGUAAGCGCGAAUCAUAAGUUUGCGCUGAUUACGUCCCUGCCCUUUGUACACACCGCCCGUCGCUACUACCGAUUGAAUGUUU
This 519-nucleotide ribosomal RNA is filed under the name uncultured eukaryote. Its description in RNAcentral is "SSU rRNA". It matches the Rfam family "Eukaryotic small subunit ribosomal RNA", at positions 1161 to 1698 of the family's 1831-position model. The record is from RNAcentral.